Molecule: ribosomal RNA, 273 nt
Filed under: uncultured bacterium
Lineage: Bacteria
Description: partial 16S ribosomal RNA
Rfam family: Bacterial small subunit ribosomal RNA
Source: RNAcentral
AGACGGAGGGUGCAAGCGUUACUCGGAAUUACUGGGCGUAAAGCGUACGUAGGCGGCUUGUCAAGUUGGAUGUGAAUCCCACAGCUUAACUGUGGAACUGCGUCCAAAACUGGCAAGCUCGAGAACAGUAGGGGACAGUGGAACUCAAGGUGGAGCGGUGGAAUGCGUAGAGAUCCUGAGGAACACCGGUGGCGAAAGCGACUGUCUGGGCUGUUUCUGACGCUGAGGUACGAAAGCCAGGGGAGCGAACGGGAUUAGAAACCCUAGUAGUCC